RNAcentral lists this long non-coding RNA (367 nucleotides) under Equus asinus (donkey). RNAcentral describes it as "lncRNA (ENSEASG00005034987.1)". The record is from RNAcentral. Lineage: Eukaryota; Metazoa; Chordata; Mammalia; Perissodactyla; Equidae.
CGGCAGAGAGAGCCAGAGCAGUGGGUCUGAUCCAGUUUUAGCCAUUCUGGACUUUCACAGAUUUACUCAUCUGUAAAAUGGGCCUUAUGGAUGAGCUGCCACUGCCAGAAGCUGCUGAUAGCUUUGGCACCUCAGCUGACAAAUGUGCUGUCAGGACAUGCAUCCUCUCCACAGUCAGACGUGCUGCGGUGGCGGGGACGAACAGGGCCCUGGAACCCCACCGUCCUGGCAGGAACCCUGGGCUGUGCCAGCACGUGUUUCAUCUACUUGGGCCAGGGAAAGGGAAAGAGAGAGACGCACCGGACAGCCUGCUUGCAGAGAGCGGGAGAAGUGUCCUGAGCUUUCCCAUUGCGGCCCCAGGCUCGGC